This 1006-nucleotide long non-coding RNA is filed under the name Equus asinus (donkey). Its description in RNAcentral is "lncRNA (ENSEASG00005026407.1)". The record is from RNAcentral. Lineage: Eukaryota; Metazoa; Chordata; Mammalia; Perissodactyla; Equidae.
AUCUUUUUACAUUUUUUCCCCAUUUACUGUUAGUGCAAUUCCAGAGAUUCAUUAGAAACUACACGUUCCAAAACUUGAUCAAAAGAAAGCUCCACAAGAGAAGCAGAAAACAUUCCUUCUUCUUCAAAAGCUGUAGAAAGGCAGCCACUGUCCCGGGGCAGGACAUGGGUCCUGGCAAUGCCAUCUGAAAGACCCACAUUUCUGUGCUGGUUGCUCUGCUGGGAAAGUACCUCCAGCCUCUAAAUCCAGGGGGAUCUGAGGGGCUGUCUCCGCUCCUGGCCCAGGGGAACCACACUGAAACGAACCUGUCCUCUAAGGAAGGGAGACUUGGGUGGUCCUUAACUUGCCAGGGAGGGGGCUGGCCUUCCUCCCUUGUCCCACAUACGAUGAGCUGUGACCGUGCACUAGUUCUUAAUUCAAGGAGGAAGGUGAGGUUUUGUGUCUCAUUUAUAUGAGCACAGGAGGUGAACCACACCACAACUCCCAGGCUGUAACAGAAACAGGAUUUUAGUAUAAUAUUCAAAUCUGACACUUACUAUUAAAUAAUAUUGCUCUCCCCAAUAGGCAAAUAGACACUGGGGUAGAGAUGUCAGGGAGCUGGAGGGGGGUCGUCCCCUCCCCUUUGGGAUUUAGGCAAAACCAGGAAAGAGCUUACGAUGUCCUCCUUCACAUCCGGGUGGGAAGAGCUGGCCUGGUGCACCCCGAGGGUCCCAGCCAUGUCCCUGCACCUGAAGAGGCUGAGCUUGUGGUGGCAUCUAGAGUGUGAUGGCUCCUUGCCAAGCGCAUGGCAGCUGAAUAGAAUAAACAGGCUAUUUUGGGGUCCCUCCCUGAGAUGCAUGGCCCACCUCCCUGCCCCCACUGCACUCUGUGCUCCAAACCCGGUGCUGAGUGCUCAGUGCAUCCACAGCACCCCAUUCGUCUGACACUGAGGUACCGUAAAGCAUCACCCAUACCAGAGGGGGCAACUGAGUCCCAGUAAGGAGAAGGGAGUGGCCCGUCACAGGAC